UAUUGUUAGUAUUUUGGACUGCAUGCGUGUAUAAACUAACUAAAAUGAUUCAUAUCAAUAUCAAUACAUCAGCAAUAUAUAAAAGCAGCAAUUUGUACUAGUAAAAACAAGGCUAAAUUACAGAAAACCUCCCUGUCAAAAUUCGAUUUUUCACUUUUCUCCCUAUCAUUUAAAAACAUACACUUUGUCCCCUUAUAAAAUAAAAAAUAUUCACAGGAGGUAUAGUGUGAACUGUGAUGAUAAAAUGAUCAUUUUGUCCCUCACUAUUUUGCCCCUCACCAUAUUCACAGGAGAGAAGGCUGAGAAUAUUUUUGGCAUAAAAAAAAAUAUAAUAAUAUUUUAUAAACGGAACCCUAACGGCUUACUAACGGCAGGGGGCAAAGUGAACAUUUUUUAUUUUAUAAGUGGGCAAAGUAUAGGUUUUUAAAUGACAGAAAAAAAAGUAAAAAAUCGAGUUUUGACACUAGGGUUUUAUGUAAUUU
This 482-nucleotide long non-coding RNA is filed under the name Ananas comosus (pineapple). Its description in RNAcentral is "long non-coding RNA (ACOM_LNC031770)". Lineage: Eukaryota; Viridiplantae; Streptophyta; Magnoliopsida; Poales; Bromeliaceae. The record is from RNAcentral.